UACGAAGGGAGCUAGCGUUGUUCGGAAUCACUGGGCGUAAAGCGCACGUAGGCGGAUGUGUCAGUCAGGGGUGAAAUCCCGGAGCUCAACUUCGGAACUGCCUUUGAUACAGCACGUCUUGAGUCCGGAAGAGGUGAGUGGAAUUCCGAGUGUAGAGGUGAAAUUCGUAGAUAUUCGGAGGAACACCAGUGGCGAAGGCGGCUCACUGGUCCGGUACUGACGCUGAGGUGCGAAAGCGUGGGGAGCAAACAGG
This 253-nucleotide ribosomal RNA is filed under the name uncultured bacterium. RNAcentral describes it as "partial 16S ribosomal RNA". It matches the Rfam family "Bacterial small subunit ribosomal RNA", at positions 524 to 776 of the family's 1533-position model. The record is from RNAcentral.